UAAGGAAUAUUGCUCAAUGGGAGAAAUCCUGAAGCAGCAACGCCGCGUGGAGGAUGAAGGGUCUAUGACUUGUAAACUCCUGUAAAGAAGGAAAAAAUUCCCAUUUGAUGGGAGAUGAUGGUACUUCUGGAGUAAGCCCCGGCUAACUACGUGCCAGCAGCCGCGGUAAUACGUAGGGGGCAAGCGUUGUCCGGAUUUACUGGGCGUAAAGGAUGCGUAGGCGGAUACUUAAGUCAGAUGUGAAAAUCCCGGGCUUAACUUGGGAACUGCAUUUGAAACUGGGUAUCUAGAGUGCGGGAGAGGAAAGUGGAAUUCCUAGUGUAGCGGUGAAAUGCGUAGAGAUUAGGAAGAACACCAGUGGCGAAGGCGACUUUCUGGACCGUAACUGACGCUGAGGCAUGAAAGCGUGGGGAGCAAACA
Molecule: ribosomal RNA, 420 nt
Filed under: uncultured bacterium
Lineage: Bacteria
Description: bacterial SSU rRNA
Rfam family: Bacterial small subunit ribosomal RNA
Source: RNAcentral